RNAcentral lists this ribosomal RNA (1053 nucleotides) under Triticum aestivum (bread wheat). RNAcentral describes it as "partial small subunit ribosomal RNA". Lineage: Eukaryota; Viridiplantae; Streptophyta; Magnoliopsida; Poales; Poaceae. The record is from RNAcentral.
AUGGCGCCUUGUGAGGAAGAGGAAGUGCCUCGUCCCGGCCCGGCACUCAUCGUGGGCGCCACCGGCUACAUCGGUCGCUUCGUGGCGGAGGCCUGCCUCGACAGCGGGCGCAGGACCUUCAUCCUCGUCCGCCCCGGCAACGCCUGCCCCGCGCGCGCGGCCUCCGUCGACGCGCUCCAGCGCAAAGGCGCCUUGGUCGUCGAGGGCCGCGUCGACGGGAAAGACGGCGGGAGGUCCGUGGAGACGGCGCUCCGCGCGCACGGCGUCGAGGUGGUGAUCUCGGUGAUGGGCGGCGCCAACAUCCUCGACCAGCUCGGCCUCAUCAAAGCCAUCCAAGCCGCCGGCACCGUCAAGAGGUUUCUGCCGUCGGAGUUCGGGCACGACGUGGACAGGGCGCGCCCGGUGGGGGCCGGGCUGGGGUUCUACGAGGAGAAGCGGCGCGUCCGGCGGGCGGCGGAGGCGGCCGGCGUGCCCUACACCUACAUCUGCUGCAACUCCAUCGCCGGCUGGCCCUACUUCGACAACAUGCACCCGUCCGAGGUGCGCCCGCCGCUCGACCGCUUCCAGAUCUACGGCGAUGGCACCGUCAGAGCGUUCUUCGUGGCUGGAACUGACAUUGGCAAGUUCACGGUCAAGGCCGCGUACGACGCCCGGAGCGUCAACAAGGUCGUCCACUUCCGCCCCGCCUGCAAUCUCCUCAGCACCAACGAGAUGGCCUGCCUCUGGGAGAGCAAGAUCGGCCGCACACUGCCGCGCGUCACGCUUAGCAAGGAGGACUUGCUCGCCAUGGCUGCGGAAGACAUCAUCCCGGAGAGCAUAGUCGCUUCGCUCACGCACGACAUCUUUAUAAACGGCUGCCAGACCAACUUCGGCAUCGACGGGUCGAGAGACGUUGAAGUAUCAAGCCUUUACCCUGACAUUCCAUUCAGGACAAUUGACGAAUGCUUCGACGACUACGCUCAUGGCCUCCACCUGGAAGAAGAAGCUGAAGAGAGCAAGAAAAGUAACGCGCCGAUGGUGGAAAGAUUGGCAGUUUAUCCUACGUGUGCUUAG